Molecule: ribosomal RNA, 430 nt
Filed under: uncultured bacterium
Lineage: Bacteria
Description: bacterial SSU rRNA
Rfam family: Bacterial small subunit ribosomal RNA
Source: RNAcentral
UAGGGAAUAUUGCGCAAUGGGCGAAAGCCUGACGCAGCGACGUCGCGUGGAGGAUGAAGGGUCUCGGCUCGUAAACUCCUGUCAGAUGGGGAGAUUGGUAUACUUACUAAUACUAGGUGUACUUGACUGUACCAUCAGAGGAAGCACCGGCUAACUACGUGCCAGCAGCCGCGGUAAUACGUAGGGUGCAAGCGUUGCUCGGAAUCAUUGGGCGUAAAGAGUAGGUAGGUGGAAUUGUAAGUCAGGCGUGAAAGCCUGGGGCUCAACCCCAGAAGUGCGCUUGAUACUGCAAUUCUAGAUUUCGGAAGAGGGGAACAGAAUUCCUAGUGUAGGGGUAAAAUCCGUAGAUAUUAGGAGGAAUACCAGAGGCGAAGGCGGUUCCCUAGGCCGACAAUGACACUGAGCUACGAAAGCGUGGGUAGCAAACAGG